Molecule: long non-coding RNA, 798 nt
Organism: Ipomoea nil (Japanese morning glory)
Lineage: Eukaryota; Viridiplantae; Streptophyta; Magnoliopsida; Solanales; Convolvulaceae
Exons: 4
Source: RefSeq, a predicted model, not a curated record
GCAGUUUUCUGUAUUCUCUGAGUUUCUUCUUCCCUUUCGUUUAUGGUUCUGAACCUAAAAUUGAUACAAGAAUACACCAAAAUUACAAUGCCGCCGCUACACGACAGUCCUGUGGUCGACGAAUCCAAGCUCUCCCCUGUGAUUCUGCAACGUAUUGUUGUCCCCUGCCGACGACGAAGCAAGCAGAGGCCAAGACCGCCACCGCCGCAUCCUGUCCUCUCCUGCCGACGACGAAGCAAGCAUAAUUAGUGUGGCUUGAGCAGUUGCGGUUUUACAAGACCCCAUACUUGGAAUUCGGAAACACCUUAUCAAAUCCUAAAAAGAACUACAAGUUAUCAGCUAGAUGGGUACGUGGCCAGGAAGAUGAUGAUAAAUUCUGCGGUUGGUUCCUACCUUGAUCCACUUGCUAAGUACUGACAAGGAGAAAGUUGCAUUGUAACGGGAGGUAUUAACACAAAAUGGAAAGGAAGUAGAUGAGAGUCAAUCAUACUAUGAUGCGGUUGGCGGGCAUGAUAAUAAAAGAAGAGUUUAUGGACUUGACUCAUAUAGCAGCUUCGUUCGUCGUCCAAUAAAUGCUAAUACACCAUACAAUAUAGCAUCAAUAUUGCAGCCAUUAGACAAUGUUAAUUCCGCAAAGAUACAAGAUGAGAUUGAGAAUUUGAAGGCUUCUGCUUCUUAUGCAUCAAAGAUUAGAUGCUCUUGAGAGUUGAGAGUGAGAGAGCUUGUACUUCAUCAUCAUCCUUAUCAUAAACGGAUUAAACUUAAUAUUGCUUCUUUUCUUUAUGAAUUAUUAUGUUG